GAUGAACGCUGGCGGCGUGCCUAAUACAUGCAAGUCGAGCGAACGGAGGAGGCGCUUGCUUCUCUGAUGUUAGCGGCGGACGGGUGAGUAACACGUGGAUAACCUACCUAUAAGACUGGGAUAACUUCGGGAAACCGGAGCUAAUACCGGAUGAUAUUUUGAACCGCAUGGUUCAAAAGUGAAAGACGGUCUUGCUGUCACUUAUAGAUGGUACCGCGCUGCAUUAGCUAGUUGGUAAGGUAACGGCUUACCAAGGCAACGAUGCAUAGCCGACCUGAGAGGGUGAUCAGCCACACUGGAACUGAGACACGGUCCAGACUCCUACGGGAGGCAGCAGUAGGGAAUCUUCCGCAAUGGGCGAAAGCCUGACGGAGCAACGCCGCGUGAGUGAUGAAGGUCUUCGGAUCGUAAAACUCUGUUAGUAGGGAAGAACAUAUGUGUAAGUAACUGUGCACAUCUUGACGUUACCUAAUCAGAAAGCCACGGCUAACUACGUG
This 497-nucleotide ribosomal RNA is filed under the name uncultured bacterium. RNAcentral describes it as "partial 16S ribosomal RNA". It matches the Rfam family "Bacterial small subunit ribosomal RNA", at positions 28 to 507 of the family's 1533-position model. The record is from RNAcentral.